GAUGAACGCUGACAGCAUGCUUAACACAUGCAAGUCUUUGGCGAAUCUGUGCUUGCACAGGCUAGCCAAGGCGGACGGGUGAGUAACGCGUCAAGAACUUGCCCUGCAGACAGGGAUAACAGACGGAAACGACUGAUAACACCUGAUACAGUUGCCGGCACGCAUGUGCCUGGCAAUGAAAAGAGAUGCUGCAGGAGAGCUUUGCGUCCUAUUAGCUUGUUGGUGGGGUGAUGGGUCACCAAGGCGAUGAUAGGUAGCCGGCCUGAGAGGGUGAACGGCCACAAGGGGACUGAGAUACGGCCCUUACUCCUACGAGAGGAGGCAGUGGGGAAUAUUGGACAAUGGGGGCAACCCUGAUCCAGCAAUUCUGUGUGCACGAAGAAGGUUUUCGGAGUGUAAAGUGCUUUCAGCAGGGAAGAAGAAAGUGACGGUACCUGCAGAAGAAGCGACGGCUAAAUACGUG
Molecule: ribosomal RNA, 463 nt
Filed under: uncultured bacterium
Lineage: Bacteria
Description: partial 16S ribosomal RNA
Rfam family: Bacterial small subunit ribosomal RNA
Source: RNAcentral